Molecule: ribosomal RNA, 661 nt
Filed under: uncultured Actinomycetes bacterium
Lineage: Bacteria; Bacillati; Actinomycetota; Actinomycetes
Description: bacterial SSU rRNA
Rfam family: Bacterial small subunit ribosomal RNA
Source: RNAcentral
AUGCAAGUCGAACGGUGAAGGAGGAGCUUGCUCCUCCGGAUCAGUGGCGAACGGGUGAGUAACACGUGAGCAAUCUGCCCUUGACUCUGGGAUAAGCGUUGGAAACGACGUCUAAUACCGGAUACGACCACCGAUGGCAUCAUCUGGUGGUGGAAAGAACUUCGGUCAAGGAUGAGCUCGCGGCCUAUCAGGUUGUUGGUGAGGUAACGGCUCACCAAGCCUACGACGGGUAGCCGGCCUGAGAGGGUGACCGGCCACACUGGGACUGAGACACGGCCCAGACUCCUACGGGAGGCAGCAGUGGGGAAUAUUGCACAAUGGGCGCAAGCCUGAUGCAGCAACGCCGCGUGAGGGACGACGGCCUUCGGGUUGUAAACCUCUUUUAGUAGGGAAGAAGCGAAAGUGACGGUACCUGCAGAAAAAGCACCGGCUAACUACGUGCCAGCAGCCGCGGUAAUACGUAGGGUGCAAGCGUUGUCCGGAAUUAUUGGGCGUAAAGAGCUCGUAGGCGGUUUGUCGCGUCUGCUGUGAAAACUGGAGGCUCAACCUCCAGCCUGCAGUGGGUACGGGCAGACUAGAGUGCGGUAGGGGAGAUUGGAACUCCUGGUGUAGCGGUGGAAUGCGCAGAUAUCAGGAAGAACACCGAUGGCGAAGGCAGAUC